AUUAUAUUAAAGAUAUAUUUUUCCCAUUCCAAUUCACGGAUUCCCUGAAUUCUAUCUAUGCCCCCCUUGGAGGUCCAUGGGUCGCAAGUUAGAACGACUGCUUUAGAAGAGAAUAUGCUUCAUGCUGGAUGCAGUCCAUGGAAGGAAGCAGUAGGAAGUUCAUCCAUUCCCAGAAAUAGUUGGCCCACAUGUGCAAUCUCAGAUUUGUCCAAACUGUUCUGAUUUAAAAAAAAGAAAAAAGAAAAAAGUGUAAACCCCUUCUUUAGACUGAUUUGCCGACCUGAACUUGACCAUAACAGGGACUUACUAUGAUUGUAUUCUAGUCCUGGGAACGUGAUACAAUUUCUAUAAUCUAUCCAUGUGCCGACCUCAACAUCAGUUACCUUCAUCCUCUCCCUCUUCAUCUUCAUUCUCAUGACAUAUAUGUGAUUCUUCCAUGUCUUCCUCUUUUUUUUUUUCAAUAGGCUCCACACCCAGCAUGGAGCCCAACGUGGGGCUUGAACUCCUGACCCUGAGAUCAAGACCUGAGCUGAGAUCAUGAGUCUGACGCUUAACCAACUGAGCCACCUGGGCACCCCAGUGUAUAUGUGAUUCUUGAGGGGCAUUACUGGAAUGGAAGAUGACAGGGACACAGCACGAUAGAGAUAUACUUUCUUGCAUGAAAGAGUGAUGCUUUAUGCUCAGGAAACCUGCAACCAGAAAUAAUAUCUCCAAAACAGAAUUGCACAAAGUUCUACACAGUAUAUGCUUUAAAAUAACCUCUUACAGUAGCAAGGGUUAUGAAUUCUGAGACACUCCAGAUCCCAAUGAAUGGUGUCCAGGACUCUGGGUGACCUUAGUGUCCAGGGAACCUGUGGAAGGAAGAGACAGCAACUGGAGAAAAAGCCCAGGAGGCAGCCUGAUAUUGCAGUCACAGGAGACCAUCCUGGAACCGGCAUCCAGCAAGCUCGCAGCAAGAGCUUACCUGCUUCCCAGAAAAAAAGGGCCACAGCAGAGAAGUCUGAAGAACAUGUUGGCUCGGAGGGGAAAAAGAGGUGGCAAGUGGCCUUUUCUGUCAGGCUUACCUGUCCCCAUCAGCAGCCUCCUCGUGACGUGAUCACUGGCUCUUGCCUUUGUAGUCACCAUGUGUGUGAGAGACGAAAACAUGUCAGAGAAUGUGGAGGGCAGGGAGAGCGGGUGAAAACCACCAGCGGGAGUUUCAACCUGCUCUUGUUUCCUUUUUCCCAGAGGCUGCUCUUUUGCUAUUUUUUUAAUAAAUAUUAUAAAUAUUGUUCAUUUCUUGGCUUUUUAACUUGUCAGUUUGCCUUCUCCCCUUCUCCUUGCAUCUCAGGCCAUGAAUCAUAUAGCGUGGUGUUUAUCAAUCACAGUUUUGCCGCACUUAUGAAAUCACAGAGGGGUUACUUUACGUUAAAAAUGUCGAGCUACACAAAACAUAAUGACAAAUGCACAACGCAUCUAGGGAAACCAGAGCCUGACUCCUGUUGUCUGAGCGAUCAGCUGAGGAGAUGGGUUAUUGACGGAGAAUUUAAGCCUCCGUGUUAUUCUUCCAGAUGUCAUUGUCUGGAUAUCCAUUGCCCUGAAGUUUAUAUUUUUAUUCUCCGGCUUUUCAUUGUAUUCG
This is a long non-coding RNA of Ailuropoda melanoleuca (giant panda), 1618 nucleotides long. NCBI's taxonomy places the organism in Eukaryota, Metazoa, Chordata, Mammalia, Carnivora, Ursidae. The record is from Ensembl.